RNAcentral lists this small nuclear RNA (350 nucleotides) under Aotus nancymaae (Ma's night monkey). RNAcentral's name for it is "7SK RNA (ENSANAG00000010738.1)". It matches the Rfam family "7SK RNA". From Rfam's summary of the family: 7SK was discovered as an abundant small nuclear RNA in the mid-70s but a possible function has only recently been suggested. Two independent studies have found that 7SK RNA binds the CDK9/cyclin T complex (known as elongation factor P-TEFb). Lineage: Eukaryota; Metazoa; Chordata; Mammalia; Primates; Aotidae. The record is from RNAcentral.
GGAUGUGAGGGCGAUCUGGCUGCGACAUCUGUCACCCCAUUGAUCGCCAGGGUUGAUUCGGUUGAUCUGCCGGCUAGACGGGUGUCCCCUUCCUCCCUCACCGCUCCAUGUGCAUCCCUCCCGAAGCUGUGCACUCGGUCGAAGAGGACGACCAUCCCCGAUAGAGGAGGACUGGUCUUCAGUCAAGGGUAUAGGAGUAACUGCGCUCCCCUGCUAGAACCUCCAAACAAGCUCUCAAGAAUAAUGGUCUCCAACUCCAUUCAGGUUGCUGUGAAUGCCAUUAUUUCAUUCCAUUUUAUGGCUGAGUAAUAUUCCAUACUAUAUAUAUAUACUAUAUAGUAUAUAUAUAU